Molecule: ribosomal RNA, 435 nt
Filed under: uncultured bacterium
Lineage: Bacteria
Description: bacterial SSU rRNA
Rfam family: Bacterial small subunit ribosomal RNA
Source: RNAcentral
CAGGCCUAACACAUGCAAGUCGAACGAAGGCUUCGGCCUUAGUGGCGCACGGGUGCGUAACGCGUGGGAAUCUGCCCCUUGGUUCGGAAUAACAGUUAGAAAUGACUGCUAAUACCGGAUGAUGACGUAAGUCCAAAGAUUUAUCGCCGAGGGAUGAGCCCGCGUAGGAUUAGCUAGUUGGUGUGGUAAAGGCGCACCAAGGCGACGAUCCUUAGCUGGUCUGAGAGGAUGAUCAGCCACACUGGGACUGAGACACGGCCCAGACUCCUACGGGAGGCAGCAGUGGGGAAUAUUGGACAAUGGGCGAAAGCCUGAUCCAGCAAUGCCGCGUGAGUGAUGAAGGCCUUAGGGUUGUAAAGCUCUUUUACCCGGGAUGAUAAUGACAGUACCGGGAGAAUAAGCCCCGGCUAACUCCGUGCCAGCAGCCGCGGUAAU